Molecule: long non-coding RNA, 1274 nt
Organism: Zingiber officinale
Lineage: Eukaryota; Viridiplantae; Streptophyta; Magnoliopsida; Zingiberales; Zingiberaceae
Exons: 3
Source: RefSeq, a predicted model, not a curated record
UUGAAACAAUCUUCAAAGAAGCUUGUUUUGGAUUGUUGCACGAGGUGGAAUGCAACAUUUUAUAUGUUAUCGGCUGCUUUAGAGUUCAAAGAUGUUUUUCCUAGAUAUGCAGCAAGGGAUGUAGCUUAUACUUUUUUGCCAAGUGAGGACGAUUGGAAAAAGGUUAGUGUUGUUUGUUCAUUUCUCGAGGAAUUUAAUGAAGUAACUCAUCUUAUUUCGGGAAGUGAAUAUCCUACUUCUAACUUGUUCCUUACUGAACUUUAUACCAUAAAGAAAUUGUUAAAUCAGGCAAGUUCAGAUGAAGGAAGUUUAUGGCAGCAAUGGCUAACAAGAUGAAGGCUAAAUUUGAUAAAUAUUGGGGUGAUAGCAACUUAUUAAUUUCUAUAGCAGCAGUGUUAGAUCCAAGGAACAAGAUGAAAUUGAUUGAAUGAUGUUUUUCAGAGAUCUAUUCUCCUGGUGAUGCAAUUGAGCACAUUUCUACUGUUCAUGAGACAUUGCGCAUGUUGUACAAUGAGUAUGUUGAAGCUCAUAAAACUACUGUUGGCAGCAGCAAUGUUCAAGAUGAAACUCAAAGAGAAAGUUCUAUUGGUCGGACUAAUUUAAAUGGAAGAGGAAAAGGUAAAGUAAGGGCACAAUUUUAUAGUUACAUUAAGAAUGUUGUCAGUAUUGAGCAAGUAAAAUCUGAAUUAGAUGUGUACUUGGAUGAAGGAUGUGUUAUUUGUGAAGAUGACAUUAACUUUGAUGCAUUGUCAUGGUGGAGAAUUAACAACUUAAAGUUUAGGAUCUUAUCAAAAAUGGCUUGUGAUGUACUAUCAAUUCCGAUAACUACAGUUGCUUCUGAAUCGUCUUUUAGUGCCGGUGGUAGGGUAAUUGAUCCUCAUUGUGCCUCUUUGGGAACAGAUACAGUCCAAAUAUUACUUUGUGCAUCAGAUUGGUUGCGUGCUCAUUAUGGAAUCAAGAAAAAAAAUCAAAGGAAAAGUCAGAGAUGAAAGAGAUCCAAUUUACUUAGUUGCUGUCUUUAUCGUCAACUUUCAAAAGGUUCUUAGUAGUAGAUAAUGACUUUUUCUAUUUACUGAUGCUAUGGAGGAGGAGGUUCUCCAGCGUGUCCAAGCUUGGAACUUUUGCUGCAGUUAAUAUGAAGAAAAACGUGGGUGUUUAGACUGCAAUUUUGUAAUCCUCUUUAAAUUGAUUCAAACUUUUGUUGUAGAGAAAAACGGUGUUAAAACUGUAAUUUUGUAAUUGGCUACAGUUAAUAUGUAAACUUUUUCUGUUAA